GCAUUCCCCUAGAGGACUGGCUGCCACACCACAAGAUAGCCGCCAUUCAAAAUACUACAUCUCCCAGAAUGCCUCAGGACCCACCCAGCUGUAGGUGCACCUGUUGUACGAGCGCUUGGUGGAGCGCUUGGUGGAGCGCUUGGUGGAACUGAGGGACAGAGAUCCCACAAACGACAGAAACCAGGGGACAGAGAUUCCCCGGCAAGAGAGCCUGAGGGGGGGGAAGGAUAGCCCCAAGGCUGGAAGGAGCUGAAGGAACCAACUGGGAACCGACAGUCAUACAGGAAAGUAACUAACAGACUUGACAAUUGUUUAAGCGGAGGAAGCCCCUGACUGAAGAGGGGAAAAGGGACAUUUUGUGUUUGGUGUUGGACUUUUGAAUUUGUGUGAAGAAAUACCUGAGUUGUGCGUUUUGAGUGAAGUACCGAAUUAAAAACCAUGUUUUAACCUCCCAUUGUGACUGUUUCCUCAGUUAGACUGCACUGCCCCGCCCUUAAACCUGUUACAAAGUGUGUGUGUGUGUAGGUAUCUGCAUGCCCUCUCACCUAGCAGGACCAGGAUGCAUGCCAGGAUGGCGAUGAGUGCCCCUCGGCUCAGGCUGGCGUGCAGCGUGUAGGCCUCAGCACUGCACGAGAGCACGUUGCCGUCGGCAUCGCAGCUGCACACACGCACAGUGAGCGUGGCCGUGCUGCUUUGCAUCGGCAGCUCGCCGUCCGUCACCUGGAUUGGCAGGUGGUAGACGCUCUGCUCCUGCUGCGACCAGCCGCCACCUCGCGUCAGCACCCACGCCGAGUUAUCUGCCACGGAGAGGGGGAAAACGCUGCCUCGGGGGCAAGACUGUAGCAAAAAUGUUGUCCUCCAAUUGGGUCGUCCGCAUUCGUCGCCGUGUGGGUGUGAAUCAACUUUGAACGGCAAGAAACGACAUCAGACAUUUGGUGUGUGUGUGUGUGUGUUUCUCAGCUAUGUGAGUUCUUACCUGUCCUGCUUUAGCAUUCUCGCACAAAAAGGCUUCAUAGUAUAGAUGAACAGUACCUGAUGGAACCACUAUGCCUGUGCUGUUAUAACAGCAUCAGCC
Clupea harengus (Atlantic herring) is the source of this 1075-nucleotide long non-coding RNA. NCBI's taxonomy places the organism in Eukaryota, Metazoa, Chordata, Actinopteri, Clupeiformes, Clupeidae. The record is from Ensembl.